UACGAGUGCCUCAAGCGUUAUCCGGAAUCAUUGGGCGUAAAGGUUGUGUAGGUGGUUGUAUUAGUCUUCUGUUAAAUUCUUCGGCUUAACCGGGGGCAUGCAGAGGAAACGGUACAACUAGAGGAUGCGAGGGGUCUGCGGAACUCAUAGUGUAGCGGUAAAAUGCGUUGAUAUUAUGGGGAACACCAAAAGCGAAGGCAGCAGACUGGAGCGCUCCUGACACUGAAACAAGAAAGCGUGGGUCGCGAAUGGG
Molecule: ribosomal RNA, 253 nt
Filed under: uncultured bacterium
Lineage: Bacteria
Description: partial 16S ribosomal RNA
Rfam family: Bacterial small subunit ribosomal RNA
Source: RNAcentral